GUGUGUGUGUGUGUGUGUGUGUGUGUGUGUGUUUGUAUACAAGCACACAAACACACACACACACACACACACACACACUG
Molecule: microRNA precursor, 80 nt
Filed under: Marmota monax (woodchuck)
Lineage: Eukaryota; Metazoa; Chordata; Mammalia; Rodentia; Sciuridae
Source: RNAcentral